RNAcentral lists this ribosomal RNA (180 nucleotides) under Ruminococcus sp. RNAcentral's name for it is "partial 16S ribosomal RNA". It matches the Rfam family "Bacterial small subunit ribosomal RNA", at positions 1 to 180 of the family's 1533-position model. The record is from RNAcentral. Lineage: Bacteria; Bacillati; Bacillota; Clostridia; Eubacteriales; Oscillospiraceae.
UUGUUAAAGAGUUUGAUCCUGGCUCAGGAUGAACGCCGGCGGCACGCUUAACACAUGCAAGUCGAACGGACUUAGGAGCUUGCUCCGAAGGUUAGUGGCGGACGGGUGAGUAACACGUGAGCAACCUGCCUAUCAGUGGGGAACAACGUUUGGAAACGAACGCUAAUACCGCAUAAUAUA